This 468-nucleotide ribosomal RNA is filed under the name uncultured bacterium. Its description in RNAcentral is "partial 16S ribosomal RNA". It matches the Rfam family "Bacterial small subunit ribosomal RNA", at positions 28 to 507 of the family's 1533-position model. The record is from RNAcentral.
GACGAACGCUGGCGGCGUGCUUAACACAUGCAAGUCGAACGGAAAGGCCCUGCUUUUGUGGGGUGCUCGAGUGGCGAACGGGUGAGUAACACGUGAGUAACCUGCCCUUGACUUUGGGAUAACUUCAGGAAACUGGGGCUAAUACCGGAUAGGAGCUCCUGCUGCAUGGUGGGGGUUGGAAAGUUUCGGCGGUUGGGGAUGGACUCGCGGCUUAUCAGCUUGUUGGUGGGGUAGUGGCUUACCAAGGCUUUGACGGGUAGCCGGCCUGAGAGGGUGACCGGCCACAUUGGGACUGAGAUACGGCCCAGACUCCUACGGGAGGCAGCAGUGGGGAAUAUUGCACAAUGGGAGGAAGCCUGAUGCAGCAACGCCGCGUGCGGGAUGACGGCCUUCGGGUUGUAAACCGCUUUCGCCUGUGACGAAGCGUGAGUGACGGUAAUGGGUAGAGAAGCACCGGCUAACUACGUG